Molecule: ribosomal RNA, 1284 nt
Filed under: metagenome
Description: bacterial LSU rRNA
Rfam family: Bacterial large subunit ribosomal RNA
Source: RNAcentral
UUGUCAACACCGAGGCGCGGGACCAGGGGGGCUUGCCCUCCGAAGCUGCAGAUACCCUGCUUCCAGGAAAAGCCACUAAGCUUCAGCCCGUCGGGACCGUACCGCAAACCGACACAGGUGGGCAGGAUGAAAAUUCUCAGGCGCUUGAGAGAACUCAGGAGAAGGAACUCGGCAAAUUGACACCGUAACUUCGGGAGAAGGUGUGCCUUUGGUAGGUGUAGCGGCUUGCCCGCGAAGCCGAAGAAGGCCGCAGAGAAUCGGUGGCUGCGACUGUUUAUCAAAAACACAGCACUCUGCUAAGACGUUGGAAGUCGACGUAUAGGGUGUGACGCCUGCCCGGUGCCGGAAGGUUAAGUGAUGGGGUGCAAGCUCUUGAUCGAAGCCCCGGUAAACGGCGGCCGUAACUAUAACGGUCCUAAGGUAGCGAAAUUCCUUGUCGGGUAAGUUCCGACCCGCACGAAUGGCGUAACGAUGGCCACACUGUCUCCUCCUGAGACUCAGCGAAGUUGAAAUGUUUGUGAAGAUGCAAUCUACCCGCGGCUAGACGGAAAGACCCCAUGAACCUUUACUGUAGCUUUGCAUUGGACUGUGACGUUGUCUGUGUAGGAUAGCUGGGAGGCUUUGAAGCCGGGAUGCUAGUUCCGGUGGAGCCGACGUUGAAAUACCAGCCUGACGACGUUGCGGUUCUAACCUGGGCCCCUUGACGGGGUCGGGGACCGUGCAUGGUAGGCAGUUUGACUGGUCGGUCUCCUCCCAAAGAGUAACGGAGGAGUGCGAAGGUCACCUAGGUACGGUCGGAAAUCGUACUAAUAGUGCAAUAGCAUAAGGUGGCUUGACUGCGAGACUGACAAGUCGAGCAGGUGCGAAAGCAGGUCAUAGUGAUCCGGUGGUUCUGUAUGGAAGGGCCAUCGCUCAACGGAUAAAAGGUACUCUGGGGAUAACAGGCUGAUUCCUCCCAAGAGUUCAUAUCGGCGGGGGAGUUUGGCACCUCGAUGUCGGCUCAUCACAUCCUGGGGCUGUAGCCGGUCCCAAGGGUAUGGCUGUUCGCCAUUUAAAGUGGUACGUGAGCUGGGUUCAAAACGUCGUGAGACAGUUUGGUCCCUAUCUGCCGUGGGCGUUGGAGAUUUGACGGGGGCUGCUCCUAGUACGAGAGGACCGGAGUGGACGCAUCCCUGGUGUACCGGUUGUGACGCCAGUCGCAUUGCCGGGUAGCUAUAUGCGGAAGAGAUAACCGCUGAAAGCAUCUAAGCGGGAAACUUGCCUGAAGAUGAGAUCUCCCGGAGG